Molecule: non-coding RNA, 119 nt
Organism: Triticum urartu
Lineage: Eukaryota; Viridiplantae; Streptophyta; Magnoliopsida; Poales; Poaceae
Source: Rfam
GAAGGCGAUCAAAGCAACACUAAUGCAUCGGAUCCCAUCAGAACUUCGAAGUUAAGCGUGCUUGGGCGAGAGUGGUACUAGGAUGAGCUACCUACUGUGAAGUCCUCGUGUUACAUUAC